Mustela erminea (ermine) is the source of this 382-nucleotide long non-coding RNA. RefSeq lists it as uncharacterized. The record is from RefSeq and is a predicted model, not a curated record. NCBI's taxonomy places the organism in Eukaryota, Metazoa, Chordata, Mammalia, Carnivora, Mustelidae. The transcript is spliced from 3 exons.
GUUCAUCUCCUCAUUCAAAUUCUGCUGAACUCAGAGACAUUUUCUUCUGUGGUCUAGGGCCAGCUGGAUGAGACAAGCCUUUCCGAGAUGACAGAAAAUUGGAUGGUGCAACAUUUGCUGAAGAAAAUGUUGAAGAAAUGUCAGCUGACCAGUCUGGCAGGAGAGGAACAAUGCUGUCAUCAACAGGGGUCAGCCACACACUAUUAGUACAUGGACUGGUGAAGGGUUCCAUUGACAUUGGAGCCUCUCUAGGUAUAGGGCCAGUUGGCUAGAGUGUUGACGCCUAUCAAGGGUUGCCUGGCGUUCAACAGUGCAGCUGCCAAGACAUGAGUAAUUCUCCCAACCUUUACGUAUGCACAGCUAACCACAUAUGUAGAGCUAA